GAGCCAAAGGGCAUCGGAGGCCAGCCCGCCCCGUCGCUACUAGAGGUCGAAUUCUUCCGCUGCUCAUUCUCUCGGGCGGAGCCUUCCGUGAACCCAGCUACGUUUGUCCGUGCUACCGUCUCUCUUCUGGGUUUCAAUAAAGUUUUCCUCUUCCUCCCCUGGUACGGAGCUCAAGAUGGCGGCCUCAUGGUCACCCUUGGUUACCCUGCGCUUAACGCAGAGCCGGCUGAGAGGGAGAUGUGUUGGGUGCAGGGCUUGGGCCGCUGCUCUCACCCCUUCGGCCAUCGCCCCUGGAAACCCUCUUUGUAAAGCCUAUUCAGUUCAGCCCCCUGAGAGUAUGUCUCCAACUGCCGCUACAGAGGCUUAUUCAAAAGCUUUAGCUGUUUGCCAUGGACCAUUGGACCACUAUGACUUUCUGAUCAAAGCUCGUGAGCUAAAAGAUGAUGAACAUCAAAGAAGAGUCAUACAGUGUCUGCAGAAACUGCAUGAGGACCUUAAAGGAUACAGGAUAGAGGAAGAAGGCCUUUUUUCUAAGCUUUUUUCAAGGAGCAAACCUCCAAGGGGCCUGUAUGUUUAUGGAGAUGUGGGUACAGGGAAAACAAUGGUGAUGGACAUGUUUUAUGCUUACGUGGAAAUGAAGAGGAAAAAACGUGUUCAUUUUCAUGGUUUCAUGCUAGAUGUUCACCAAAGAAUACACCGCCUUAAACAGAGUUUGCCAAAGAGGAAACCAGGAUUCAUGGCUAAAUCAUAUGAUCCAAUAGCUCCUAUAGCUGAAGAAAUUAGUGAAGAAGCAUGUCUCUUAUGUUUUGAUGAAUUUCAGGUCACUGACAUUGCUGAUGCCAUGAUUCUGAAACAGCUUUUUGAAAAUCUGUUCAAAAACGGGGUCGUCGUUGUGGCAACAUCCAACAGGCCACCGGAAGAUCUCUAUAAAAAUGGACUCCAAAGAGCUAAUUUUGUCCCAUUCAUAGCUGUCCUGAAGGAAUACUGUAAUACGGUCCAGCUAGAUUCUGGGAUAGAUUAUCGGAAAAGGGAACUUCCUGCUGCAGGAAAACUCUACUACCUCACAAGUGAAGCUGAUGUGGAGGCUGUCAUGGAUAAGUUGUUUGAUGAGCUGGCUCAGAAACAAAAUGAUUUAACUAGACCAAGGAUUCUAAAAGUGCAAGGCAGAGAGCUGCGGCUGAAUAAAGCUUGUGGAACCGUUGCCGACUGCACAUUUGAAGAGCUGUGUGAGAGAAUUGCGCAGCCCCACCUAAAUGCAAGAGAGGCUGGGAAAUGUGAUCUAGCUGUGCACUCAGGAAAACGAAGAAAACAUAGAUAUGGCCACUUGGAGCCAGUGACUAUUUGGAACUGUCAAGGAAUUUUGAUACAGUAUUUUUACGAAACAUUCCACAAUUUACCCUGGCAAAGAGGACCCAAGCUAGGAGAUUCAUAACUCUCAUCGAUAACUUUUAUGAUUUCAAGGUGCGCAUAAUUUGCUCUGCAUCAGCUCCUAUAUCAAGCUUAUUUUUGUAUGAUCAUCAUGACAGUGAGUUGGAGCAAAGCAGAAUACUGAUGGAUGAUUUGGGGCUGAGCCAGGACUCAGCAGAAGGACUAGCCAUGUUUACUGGAGAAGAGGAAAUCUUUGCAUUUCAGCGCACAAUUUCCCGACUCACAGAAAUGCAGACUGAACAGUACUGGAAUGAAGGAGACAGAAGCAAGAAGUAACCGUCCCUUUUGCGUGAAUAAAACUCUGGGCAAAUGAUUACUGCAGGAAGAACUCUUUAUUAUGGGACUGGAAGGAAUCAUUUUCUCAUCAUUAAUUAUGCACUUUGUCCUCUGGACCAUUUUUAUCUAAAAUUGCUGUCAAAGAUAUAGUGGUUUAGUAAGUUAAAGCCACUUUUAGGUUUACUUUUUGCCUGUUUAUUUGGCCUUAUUUCUACACCACACAAUUAAAAUCAGCACUCUUAUCAAGCUGAAUGUAGGACCAGGCAUUUUGGUUUCAUAUUAAGCUACCUGAAUGAACCUUGAAUACAUACACACUCUGUAAACGCAGGGUGUCUGGACAUCUGUGACCUUUUGGCUACCUGGUAGCUGCAUGAUAGAAACACAUCUUUAUGAGAGUGGAGGAAAAAAACCUUACAUUUCAGUUCAAAACAAAAAGAGACUUCUGAUGGACUUAUCUCUGUGAUUGUUGGGGGCUGUAAAUUACUUUAAAUCUCCCAAGUCUUUAGGCUUCCUUACAGCAGAGAGUAUGUUUUUUACCCUGAGUUCAAGCUUUGCAGGCAGGACCUGAUCUCCAGUGGACACACAACUGACUGAAAAAAAUGAAGGAUUAUGAAACCAUAGAAUAAGAAACGGGUGUCAAAUUUCAACCGACAAACAGAUUCCCCCAACUCUGACAGCCCGGAAGACAAAUACCAGGAAUGGGGACCGGUGAGAGAGUGUCGGGAGGGGUGGUGUCCUGGACCACACUAAGCAGCAGAAUGGACUCUGCUCACUUGAGGCCAUAAGACCCCGUGGACCGCAGCUCCUUCCCGCUGCUCACGUGUGUUUGCUCUGCUCGCAGAUGUCACUCCCACCCUUGCCGCUGCUUCUGCAGUGCGACGGGCCUAACAGUAAAUGGGAGAGAAUGGCCGCUUGACGAGUCUGUUUAAAUGAAAUCUGAUUUGCCCUCCAUGGAAGUCAUUCCUUGGCUCAUUCAAAUACAGCCUGACUUUGCUAACUGUCGCUCACAGAAGGAAACUUGGUGGAGGUUGUUACAAGAGUCUAAAUCCUUAUUCAAGAAAAAAAAGAGAAAAAGAAUUGAAAUCCACAAAUCUUGUGAAAAUUAAAUAUUUGGGGAGAGUAGGCACAGGUGAGUCAGUUUAAAUAAAUGAUUACGAUUAUCAACAUAAAUAAACUCUUGAAACUAUGUCAUUUAUAAGUUAAUAAUCUACCCAUACUAGUCUAUUUUGGACCUUAACCUAAGUCAAUCGGAUGGAUAGGUAGGGUACCCAAGAAUAGUGAAACAUUUAAAUCAAAACUUCUGAAAAUUAAAUGCGAUUUGAAAAUAUUUUUAUUGAAGUGAAACAGUGAGUUCAAAAAGAUGUUAAACAGGUUACAAGGGAGAAAGGACAGGAAAUAACCACUGUGCCAGAUUUAUUGCUAGAAAUUUCUAAAUCUUGCAUAAAAAUAUAAUCCUCAAGAGACAAUGUAACCAUCCCUGUUUAUAGACAAGAAAACUGAGGCUCAGAAAAGCAGCUUGACUGGAGAUUCAUAGUUUACAACUACAAAACUCACGUACUAUGUUUUUUACCAUACCACCUCUAUAAAAGCAAGAUCAUUUUUAAGAGUAAUUCUUUUUGUUUAAUAAAUUUACAACAGAACCGUUACUUUGUACUCACUAAGUAUAAAAUAUUUAAUUUUAGUCUUUCAAUCUAAGCUUUUUGUUUUCAGUUUGUUUUUUUUUUUUUUUUUGGCCAGAUAUGUUAUCCUUUAAUAAAAUGACAGUGUGAAUGCUAGACAGACUGACUGGUGGACAGUCUGCUUGAUAGAAAGAGGAGCUGUCCUUGAGUGUGUGGGUAUAUGUGAGUAGUCCCCCACUCAAGUUCUGUUGUACAAGUUCAUCUGAGGUCAGGUAUUUGAAACGAGAAUUUGAUUUUUCCAUAGAAACAAUAAUGUGAUGUUAGGGGCCUAGCUAAAUGUACAGAAGCUUAUGGAGUUCUCGGUGCAAAUGCCUUAUAAUUUUGGUACUAAAGAACUUAAACUCCUUUUAAAAUACAGUUGCUACAAGGUAAAACUAUAGUUCAGGUUCCACCUGAGUACCCAGAUCAUGUCUGCACUUGGUGGGACAGGCCUUGGUGGAAGGGGCUUGCUGAGAGUGGGGUCUGUGGGGAUGGGAUGAGGAGACAGUGUAAGGGUCUGUUAUAUCGGCCUAAGUACCAGAAGGAAAGAGGAGGGAUUAUCAGGAGGUAGCUGGAAAUGGUACAAUGUCAUUCCAUCUCCUCUCCACAAAUUGUUUCAUAAAAGAGCCUACAAGAAAAAGAAGCAAAAGCCUUCAGGAAAACCUGUUACCUUGAAACAAUAUGGUAGUUCUACUAAAAAGGAAAUUAAUGCCAAAAUGAGAGGAAAAUGACUCUAGAUCAGAAAGCAAUAUUUCAAUAUAUGUGUUGCUUCUUCCAAGCCCUGCCCCAGUUGCCGUCUCAGCAUUCCAGUCUCUCUCCCUGGGAUCAUGUGAAAUUUCUCAGAGCAGAUGCUCUGUCUCUCUUUUUGAACUGCUUUUAAUUUGUAUUUGAAGAUGACGUUUGAACUGACUGUUGCUGUGUUACACUCCCGUUCACUUAAGAGGUGACCAAGGGUCAUGCUGAGGGUUUUUAUUGUUGGGAAAAUGCCUCCAAAAUGACCACUAAUUUCCAAAUUUAGAAGAAAUCAAGUAGAGAAAAAGAAAAAUAUUUUAAAAAGAGAGAAACAUCUGAUUACUGCGUUAUUCUUGUAUUUCUUUAGACCAUGGAUAGGCUUAUCUGUUAACAUCAGUAAUAAUGACGUGGUAGACUUAAAGAAUUUUUAACCUAUUUCUGAUGUUUACAAGGCUCCAAAGACUAGUACUGUUCUAAUCAAAUUUAUGUAUUUUCAGUGGGAUUUCAAGUUUUAGUCAUAAAGCAUUAUUUUAUGCCCUCUGAAUAUAUUUCCUAUACCUUUAGGUGUGCAAAUAACAUAAUUUAAAAAUUACUUGGAACUUGGAAAAUUAAAAUUUUAUUUGUAAAAUAUGUAAAUAGACAUAUUCAUAUCCAUUUAUUUAUUUAGCAUUAUUUAAGAAACACAUUGUGCUUGCUAUGUGCCAGGCAUGGUUCUAAGUGCUUUGCAUAUAAACUAUUUUGACCCUUAUAAUAAUUCUGUGAGAUAGGUACUGUUAGACCACUUGUAGACAGUGAAGCUGAGGUAGAGAAAAUGGGUCCAACAGUAUACUGAACUGCUAAGAUGUACAUUGGAGUCAGUAAAGCGAUCAAAACACUGACUUAAUAAACUCUCAUGUAACUGCUUCUGUCCUGAAAACAUUCUUCUUACUCCAAGUAGCUUGAGCCUACAGUUGCAGCCCCUUCAUCUGGGAUCAAAACACCCUGAGGAAUUGGGGUCCUGGGUCCUGACAUUUGGUCCUGAUAGAUUAUGAAAUUCUGGUAGUAAAUCUGUGAUCUUGUAUAUAACCUUCCUCAGAUCCACUAGCCUCGUAAGACAUCACUGGCUGGUAGAAAAUUAUUUUCUUUGGAGGUGGGUCUGUUAAAUUCUUCUUUAAGGCAGAUUCUUCUUUCUCAUUGGCACAGCAGUUCAUUUUCCUGGAACAGAAAGUUUUAAGUAAUACAGCCUGUCUUCUUCUCGAGCCUCUGCUGCCUCUACCUUACUCUGCACUAGAAGUUUCACAUCUGUCACCCCAGCUCCUCGCUGAACCCAAUCAAACAUAUCAUCUGCUGACCUGUGUGCUGUGUGUGACAGUGUGAAACUCCAGAAGGACAUCUGUCCGUCCGUCUUCCAAGCCCGCUCAGGAAGGCUGCAGAGGUUGUCUGAGAAGCUUCCUUUCUCAGGGCUGUAUCCAUUGAGAGCUGGUGUCUCUGAUGCACCUCUCUCUUUAUCCAAGUAGGUGGGAAGGGCCCUGAACCUGGUUCUGUCAGCUUUUGCUUUGUAACCUUGAACUAGUGCUUUGAGCCUUGGUUUUCUUAUCUAUAAAUGACAACGAUAAUAGCCAUUUCAUAAACUAUCCUCAUAUUCUGAGGAUAGUUGGUAAAAAGCACUUUGCAAAUGGUAAAAGAUUAAAGGAAUAUUAGUUGUUAUUGAUUGUAAUGAUUUUGAUCAGAAAGCAACAAUAAAUGCCUACUCUGCUUUGUAA
This is an RNA transcript of Capra hircus (goat), 5836 nucleotides long. It is a transcript of the gene named lactation elevated 1, with no coding region annotated. Lineage: Eukaryota; Metazoa; Chordata; Mammalia; Artiodactyla; Bovidae. The record is from RefSeq and is a predicted model, not a curated record. The transcript has 14 exons.